Molecule: ribosomal RNA, 402 nt
Filed under: Verrucomicrobiota bacterium
Lineage: Bacteria; Pseudomonadati; Verrucomicrobiota
Description: Verrucomicrobia bacterium partial 16S ribosomal RNA
Rfam family: Bacterial small subunit ribosomal RNA
Source: RNAcentral
UGGGGAAUUUUGCACAAUGGGGGAAACCCUGAUGCAGCGACGCCGCGUGAUUUAGAAGGCCUUCGGGUUGUAAAAAUCUUUUGUAUGGGAAGAAAAUGACAGUACCAUAAGAAAAAGCCCCGGCUAACUACGUGCCAGCAGCCGCGGUAAUACGUAGGGGGCUAGCGUUGUCCGGAAUCACUGGGCGUAAAGGGUUCGCAGGCGGAAAUGCAAGUCAGGUGUAAAAGGCAGUAGCUUAACUACUGUAAGCAUUUGAAACUGCAUAUCUUGAGAAGAGUAGAGGUAAGUGGAAUUUUUAGUGUAGCGGUGAAAUGCGUAGAUAUUAAAAAGAAUACCGGUGGCGAAGGCGACUUACUGGGCUCAUUCUGACGCUGAGGAACGAAAGCGUGGGUAGCAAACAGG